Molecule: non-coding RNA, 72 nt
Organism: Hyaloscypha hepaticicola
Lineage: Eukaryota; Fungi; Ascomycota; Leotiomycetes; Helotiales; Hyaloscyphaceae
Source: the annotation of a GenBank genome assembly
GGCCUGGUGGCCUAAUGGUAAGGCGUUGCUUUCCGGUGGCAAAGAUUGCGGGUUCGAGUCCCGUCUGGGUCG